GGCAGCAGUGGGGAAUAUUGGACAAUGGGGGGAACCCUGAUCCAGCCAUGCCGCGUGUGUGAAGAAGGCCUUAUGGUUGUAAAGCACUUUAAGCGAGGAGGAGGCUACUUUAGUUAAUACCUAGAGAUAGUGGACGUUACUCGCAGAAUAAGCACCGGCUAACUCUGUGCCAGCAGCCGCGGUAAUACAGAGGGUGCGAGCGUUAAUCGGAUUUACUGGGCGUAAAGCGUGCGUAGGCGGCUUAUUAAGUCGGAUGUGAAAUCCCCGAGCUUAACUUGGGAAUUGCAUUCGAUACUGGUGAGCUAGAGUAUGGGAGAGGAUGGUAGAAUUCCAGGUGUAGCGGUGAAAUGCGUAGAGAUCUGGAGGAAUACCGAUGGCGAAGGCAGCCAUCUGGCCUAAUACUGACGCUGAGGUACGAAAGCAUGGGGAGCAAACAGGAUUAGAUACCCUGGUAGUCCAUGCCGUAAACGAUGUCUACUAGCCGUUGGGGCCUUUGAGGCUUUAGUGGCGCAGCUAACGCGAUAAGUAGACCGCCUGGGGAGUACGGUCGCAAGACUAAAACUC
Molecule: ribosomal RNA, 564 nt
Filed under: uncultured bacterium
Lineage: Bacteria
Description: bacterial SSU rRNA
Rfam family: Bacterial small subunit ribosomal RNA
Source: RNAcentral